UGGCGAACGGGUGAGUAACGCGUGAGGAACCUGCCUCAAAGAGGGGGACAACAGUUGGAAACGACUGCUAAUACCGCAUAAGCCCACGGGUCGGCAUCGACCUGAGGGAAAAGGAGCAAUCCGCCUUGAGGUGGCCUCGCGUCCGAUUAGCUAGUUGGUGAGGUAAUGGCCCACCAAGGCGACGAUCGGUAGCCGGACUGAGAGGUUGAACGGCCACAUUGGGACUGAGACACGGCCCAG
Molecule: ribosomal RNA, 240 nt
Filed under: uncultured bacterium
Lineage: Bacteria
Description: partial 16S ribosomal RNA
Rfam family: Bacterial small subunit ribosomal RNA
Source: RNAcentral